RNAcentral lists this ribosomal RNA (253 nucleotides) under uncultured bacterium. Its description in RNAcentral is "partial 16S ribosomal RNA". It matches the Rfam family "Bacterial small subunit ribosomal RNA", at positions 524 to 776 of the family's 1533-position model. The record is from RNAcentral.
UACGUAGGGGGCAAGCGUUGUCCGGAAUCAUUGGGCGUAAAGAGCGUGUAGGCGGCCCGGUAAGUCCGCUGUGAAAGUCCAGGGCUCAACCCUGGGAUGCCGGUGGAUACUGUCGGGCUCGAGUCCGGAAGAGGAGUGUGGAAUUCCUGGUGUAGCGGUGGAAUGCGCAGAUAUCAGGAAGAACACCCGUGGCGAAGGCGGCUCUCUGGAACGCAACUGACGCUGAGACGCGAAAGCGUGGGGAGCAAACAGG